This 68-nucleotide ribosomal RNA is filed under the name uncultured bacterium. RNAcentral describes it as "partial 16S ribosomal RNA". The record is from RNAcentral.
CCUACGGGAGGCAGCAGGCCACGGUAAGGUCAGCGACUGGGGUGAAGUCGUAACAAGGUAACCCGUAA